This 849-nucleotide ribosomal RNA is filed under the name Rhizophagus intraradices. Its description in RNAcentral is "eukaryotic LSU rRNA". It matches the Rfam family "Eukaryotic large subunit ribosomal RNA", at positions 1 to 695 of the family's 3401-position model. Lineage: Eukaryota; Fungi; Glomeromycota; Glomeromycetes; Glomerales; Glomeraceae. The record is from RNAcentral.
AUUUAACCUCAAAUCAGGUAAGAAUACCCGCUGAACUUAAGCAUAUCAAUAAGCGGAGGAAAAGAAAAUAACAAUGAUUCCCUUAGUAACUGCGAGUGAAGAGGGACAAGCUCAAAUUUUAAAUCUGUUAGGUUCAUCUAACCGAGUUGUAAUUUGAAGAGGCGUUUUCUGCGUUUUUGAUCAGUCCAAGUCCUUUGGAAUAAGGCAUCAUGGAGGGUGAGAAUCCCGUUCGGUUGAUCAAAUUUGCUUUAUGAUACGUCAUCUAAGAGUCAAGUUGUUUGGGAUUGCAGCUUAAAAUGGGAGGUAAAUUUCUCCUAAGGCUAAAUAACGGCGAGAGACCGAUAGCGAACAAGUACCGUGAGGGAAAGAUGAAAAGAACUUUGAAAAGAGAGUCAAAUAGUACGUGAAAUUGUUGAAAGGGAAACGAUUGAAGUCAGUCGUACCUGCGGGAUAAUCAGCCUUUCGAGUAUGAUUCUGUGGAGUGUAAGGAGUUUAACCGUCUUCAUACCUGCAUAUUCGUGCGCUUUGGGUGUACUUGUCCGUAUGGUAGGUUAACAUCAAUUUUGGUCGUUAUAAAAUGACUAGGGGAAUGUAGCUUUGAUCCCGUAUUGAAGUGUUAUAGUCUCUGGUAAAUGCAGUGACUAGGAUUGAGGAUUGCAACGGAUACCUUUCGGGGCUACUCGUCUGAUCUCUGGAAGUUACUUUGGUGCUAAAAGCUUGCUUAUGGUUAUCGAAGUUGACGGUCAAUAGGUUAGAACGAGUUAAAUUCGUUAAGGAUGUUGACGUAAUGGCUUUAAACGACCCGUCUUGAAACACGGACCAAGGAGUCUAACAUAUAUGCGAGUGUUA